Molecule: ribosomal RNA, 763 nt
Filed under: uncultured Ruegeria sp.
Lineage: Bacteria; Pseudomonadati; Pseudomonadota; Alphaproteobacteria; Rhodobacterales; Roseobacteraceae
Description: bacterial SSU rRNA
Rfam family: Bacterial small subunit ribosomal RNA
Source: RNAcentral
GCGGAGGCUAACCAUGCAAUUCGAGCGCGCCUUCGGGUGAGCGGCGGACGGGUUAGUAACGCGUGGGAACGUGCCCUUCUCUACGGAAUAGCCUCUGGAAACGGAGAGUAAUACCGUAUACGCCCUUUGGGGGAAAGAUUAUCGGAGAAGGAUCGGCCCGCGUUAGAUUAGGUAGUUGGUGGGGUAACGGCCUACCAAGCCUACGAUCUAUAGCUGGUUUUAGAGGAUGAUCAGCAACACUGGGACUGAGACACGGCCCAGACUCCUACGGGAGGCAGCAGUGGGGAAUCUUAGACAAUGGGGGCAACCCUGAUCUAGCCAUGCCGCGUGAGUGAUGAAGGCCUUAGGGUCGUAAAGCUCUUUCGCCUGUGAUGAUAAUGACAGUAGCAGGUAAAGAAACCCCGGCUAACUCCGUGCCAGCAGCCGCGGUAAUACGGAGGGGGUUAGCGUUGUUCGGAAUUACUGGGCGUAAAGCGCGCGUAGGCGGAUUAGAAAGUUGGGGGUGACAUCCCGGGGCUCAACCCCGGAACUGCCUCCAAAACUGCUAGUCUAGAGUUCGAGAGAGGUGAGUGGAAUUCCGAGUGUAGAGGUGAAAUUCGUAGAUAUUCGGAGGAACACAGUGGCGAAGGCGGCUCACUGGCUCGAUACUGACGCUGAGGUGCGAAAGUGUGGGGAGCCAACAGGAUUAGAUUACCUGGUAGUCCACACCGUAAACGAUGAAUGCCAGUCGCGGAUAGAUACUAUUCGGUGCACACUACCGGAU